AAAGCUUAGCAACUUAAUAAACCUCAAUACCUAAAAGCCCCCCGAACCCCUAACCACUACUGAAUAACCCCAUAUAUUUAUGGGAGAUAUUAUGCUCGAACUAGUAACAAGAAAAUGAACAUUCUCCCAAAUAUAAGCGUAAGCCAUAAUGGACCAACCACUGGCAAUUAACGUCAUGAAAACACUCCAAUAACACACCUAGAAAAACCUGUAAACUUCAACGUUAACCUUACACCAGAAUAUUAUGGGAAAGAUUAAAAGGGAAAGAAGGAACUCGGCAAAUUUUAGCCCCGCCUGUUUACCAAAAACAUCGCCUCUUGUUAAAACAUAAGAGGUCCAGCCUGCCCAGUGACUUAUUCAACGGCCACGGUACCUUAACCGUGCAAAGGUAGCAUAAUAACUUGUUCUCUAAAUGUGGACUUGUAUCAACGGCACCACGAGGGCUAUACUGUCUCCUCCCCCCAAUCAGUGAAACUAACCUCCCCGUGAAGAGGCGGGAAUUUAAUUAUAAGACGAGAAGACCCCAUGGAGCUUUAAACCCAGCGAGCAUUCACCGAUGUAUACCCCAUUCACAAACCCUGCCCUCUGGUUUUAGGUUGGGGCGACCACGGAGUAAAAACUAACCUCCGCGCCGAAUGGUAAACCCUAAUCAAUGAGCCCCCACUCUAAGAAUCAGUAUACUGACGCCAACUGACCCAAAAAUUGAUCAACGAACCAAGUUACCCUGGGGAUAACAGCGCAAUUCAUCUUAAAAGCCCCUAUUGAAAGAUGAGCUUACGACCUCGAUGUUGGAUCAGGGUAUCCAAGUGGUGCAGCCGCUACUAACGGCUCGUUUGU
Molecule: ribosomal RNA, 837 nt
Filed under: Alcalus baluensis (Balu oriental frog)
Lineage: Eukaryota; Metazoa; Chordata; Amphibia; Anura; Ceratobatrachidae
Description: partial 16S ribosomal RNA
Rfam family: Bacterial large subunit ribosomal RNA
Source: RNAcentral